RNAcentral lists this ribosomal RNA (491 nucleotides) under uncultured bacterium. RNAcentral's name for it is "partial 16S ribosomal RNA". It matches the Rfam family "Bacterial small subunit ribosomal RNA", at positions 29 to 507 of the family's 1533-position model. The record is from RNAcentral.
GUGAACGCCGGCGGUAGGCCUAACACAUGCAAGUCGAACGGCAGCACAGUAAGAGCUUGCUCUUACGGGUGGCGAGUGGCGGACGGGUGAGGAAUACAUCGGAAUCUACUUUUUCGUGGGGGAUAACGUAGGGAAACUUACGCUAAUACCGCAUACGACCUACGGGUGAAAGCAGGGGAUCUUCGGACCUUGCGCGAUUGAAUGAGCCGAUGUCGGAUUAGCUAGUUGGCGGGGUAAAGGCCCACCAAGGCGACGAUCCGUAGCUGGUCUGAGAGGAUGAUCAGCAACACUGGAACUGAGACACGGUCCAGACUCCUACGGGAGGAAGCAGUGGGGAAUAUUGGACAAUGGGCGAAAGCCUGAUCCAGCCAUACCGCGUGGGUGAAGAAGGCCUUCGGGUUGUAAAGCCCUUUUGUUGGGAAAGAAAAGCAGCAGGUUAAUACCCCGCUGUUCUGACGGUACCCAAAGAAUAAGCACCGGCUAACUUCGUG